GAUGAAGAACGCAGCGAAAUGCGAUAAGUAAUGUGAAUUGCAGAAUUCCGUGAAUCAUCGAAUCUUUGAACGCACAUUGCGCCCCCUGGUAUUCCGGGGGGCAUGCCUGUCCGAGCGUCAUUGCAACCCUCAAGCGCGGCUUGUGUGUUGGGCUUCGUCCCCCCGUGGACGUGCCCGAAAGGCAGUGGCUGCGUCCCGAAUGGUGCCCGAGCGUAUGGGAACUCUCUUCCGCUCGAACCGGCCCAUUCGGCGCUGGUCGAACCCCAAUUUUUUUUUACCGGUUGACCUCGGAUCAGGUAGGGAUACCCGCUGAACUUAAGCAUAUCAAUAAGCGGAGGA
This 339-nucleotide unclassified non-coding RNA is filed under the name soil metagenome. RNAcentral's name for it is "partial contains 5.8S ribosomal RNA, internal transcribed spacer 2, and large subunit ribosomal RNA". The stretch from base 1 to 120 matches the Rfam family "5.8S ribosomal RNA", at positions 35 to 154 of the family's 154-position model. The record is from RNAcentral.